CUUGCUUUCUUUGCCGGCGACCGGCGCACGGGUGAGUAACACGUAUCCAACCUGCCCUUUACUCGGGGAUAGCCUUUCGAAAGAAAGAUUAAUACCCGAUAGCAUAAUGAUUCCGCAUGGUUUCAUUAUUAAAGGAUUCCGGUAAAGGAUGGGGAUGCGUUCCAUUAGGUUGUUGGUGAGGUAACGGCUCACCAAGCCUUCGAUGGAUAGGGGUUCUGAGAGGAAGGUCCCCCACAUUGGAACUGAGACACGGUCCAAACUCCUACGGGAGGCAGCAUG
RNAcentral lists this ribosomal RNA (279 nucleotides) under uncultured bacterium. RNAcentral's name for it is "partial 16S ribosomal RNA". It matches the Rfam family "Bacterial small subunit ribosomal RNA", at positions 75 to 353 of the family's 1533-position model. The record is from RNAcentral.